UUAUCUGUUGUUCAAUGGUAGAAUGCUCGUUUCCCAAUCGAGUGACCCGGGUUCCAUUUCGGCAGAUGCA
Molecule: non-coding RNA, 70 nt
Organism: Trichonephila inaurata madagascariensis
Lineage: Eukaryota; Metazoa; Arthropoda; Arachnida; Araneae; Nephilidae
Source: the annotation of a GenBank genome assembly